UUUUUUUUUUUUUUUUUUUGACUCAACCUCAUUAUUUUUGUGUGAUUAUUCCAUGCAAUAUUUAUUUUAACCAGGGGUUUUUAUUUGUUGCUGUAGUUCUAUGAAGCAAUGAAAAUAUCUUUUAGUGAUUUAAAUAGGUAAACUUCUAUAUACUAAUUAUCUAACAGUGUUUCUUUUAGAAAUGACAUGGAAAAACAAAGGACAUUUCUUUUAUAUACAAAAGCUACAUUUUAAUCCACAGAUUGUUGUUGCCUUCCAAGAUAUUAGGUAUAAAUAUUCAGUUCAUCCUCAUAAAAUAUUCCCACUGAAAUUAGGUGGAGUUCUGAUUGAUUUAAUGCUGAAGAGUCUGGCUCAUUGGAAUAGAGGCAGUUGAAAAUUAUAUGAAAUAAUUGAAAUUGAAAUGGGAUACACCCAUAAUGCUAACCAGAAAACAAUGUAAUUAAAACCACACUGAUAUAUCUAUGACCUUGACCUAAAUGGAGUCAAUCUUGGACAAUUCAGCAAGGCCUGUUUAUUUUUGCCUUUUAAUAUUGGUGCUCAUCCUUCUUCAGUACUUAGAGGAAAAUCAAAUGGUUUAUUUUUCUUGGAAAACAUCCAAACAUCUGUAUGUGGAGUUCUUCCCUCCUCACCAUCCAACUAGAAUGUAGGUCACUUCCUUACAUACAUGAAUCUCUCUAUACAGACUACAAAGUGGGGUAAAACCUCAUUUAAUUGAGAAUGUGGGUAUAUAACUUAAUAAAUAAAGAUCAUGUCCAAGUUUUUUAUAUUCAGAUUUAAACUUUUCUGUUUUCCCAUAACUUCUAACAUUCCAUGAUUGUUGACUUAUAUUUAAAAUUUUUCCUUUUGCACUUGAUAAUAAUAAAGAGAAUUCAGCCUCUCUUAUUAAAAGUUUUCCUACCUCUCAUUCAUCCCAGUCUGUACCGAGAGAGAUCUUUAUGCUUGUACAUGUGACACUCAGGGCCUGUUCGUCACUCACCUUAAACAGCUGCCCUAUAGCCACCCUUCAGGCCUAGAGGUGACUUCUCUCUGGAGUAUGAUCGGCUCUCAGAGGGUGGAGCUGGGAAAGGAGCCUGCAUGGCCUUUAGAAGUGGGCAUGGAGCACCCAUGGUUCCUGGUUUGGAAAUGGUGACAGGUUAUAUAGCCUUUGCCUGAGCAGUUCUCCUUUGUCCCUAAUAUGUCUCACACUACGUGAAGGGGAAACUCGAGGAUCAGAGCAGGCUCCUCUAAAAUAUGGCUCAGGGUAGGGGCACUAGGCCCUGGGAAUAUAGAUCUUGGAAAUGAGAUGCUGAUCUGGGUCAGCCCUUUGGAGCUCAUGUAGAAGCAGCUCUGGCCAGAGGUGGGGUGAGAUAGAUGUGUGCUCAGCAAGGAAGUAUGCCAGCAGGCUUGGACACGUGUAUUUUAUAAGUAGGACUCCUUGUACUUUUAAUAUUCUUAGUGUUUGUUCAUUUGAGCCUUUGCUCUCUUUAGCAUGUAGCAAUGUAUGUUGUGUUUUCCAGGCUCACUUAGCUGUGCUGUGGAGAACUAGAUAUUCUGUCCAUGGGUCAGAAAGUUCAGGGGGCAUCAGGUCUAGGUGUAAGCAAGGCAUGAGGGAAAUAAUCAGAGCAAGAGGAAACUUAGGAUGCAGUGAGGCUAUUUACUAGACAAUGGUUAUAAAUGGACUAUGGAAUCCAAAUGGGAAAAGAGAUGGGAAGAGAGGAGGAGAUUUGAGGAUAAAAGAUAAGUGACAGAGUCAAUGUUUUUGAAAAUUGUGGAUGAAGAGUUAAAGUGUUGAUAUCAAUCUACUAGGGUUUUUCGGUUGGAAACCAAAAAGGUAACCCUAAGUCCUUUAAACACUGAAUGAAAGGAAAAAAAAAACCUAUAAAAAAGUCCUUGGAAAUUCAGAAUAGAAAGUAUAGAAGAGUCCAUGAGAUGACUCAGUGAAAUCACCAUUCAUCUUUGUUUAUCUUUGCACCUUUGUAAUUCUAGGAAAAUGACUUGGGAUUUUUGUGGUGACUUCAAAGUACCUUUAUAUGUUUCUACUCAUUGAUUAUUCAUAGACAUUCAUGGCACAGGGCUGAUAGAUUAAUUGAACAAAUAGGGAAAUAACCACUUAAGCAAGAGAGCUGGAUGCUCAGGAAGUUUUGGUCAGAAAGUGGAAUGUUAGAAAUUGUGCUUUCAGAACUGGUGCAACUUCUGGUGAUAAUGGAGUGAUGGGGUGGUGGCUGAGUUCUGCAGGAAAAGUAGUAGUCAAGGAAUCAGGGUCACCUAUUCCAGGAUGAACAAAGAAUGUUUCUGGUCUGAUCUAUGGGAAGAAUUGAAGCAGCAGUAAUCCAAAUGAAGAUUAUAUAUCAGAAGAGCUAAGGGGGGGGCAUGGAAAGAACAGAUGGGGAAUUAUGUGGCUUAAAAAUGCUAAAUGAGGAACAAUACAUUAUAUGGAGGCAUAAAGACAAAUUAGGGGAAAUGGAGCAGCAAGAGCACAGGUCUUAGCCCUGCCCUGGGGCCAGUAACCUGCUGUUCUCUUUGUCAUUCCAGGUUGAUGCAUAAUCUUGUAGUUCUCCUCCAAUACCUUUGAUUUUAGUGCUUUGAUAGAUGAACCCUUCUCAAAUUAUUCCAAUCUGAGUGUUCUCUUGAUUUUCUGUUAGGACCCUAAAUGAAACAUCAGCUAAUUUAAAAUAUAAUACUUCAUUUUUCUGUUUUAUAUAUUAUGGUUAAUAAUAAUGAUCAUAUUUUAUAAUUAUUAAUAAGCAAGAACUCUGCAGAUAUUACAUAAUAAUAUAUAUUAUUUAGUUUAAUUAUAUUACUUAAUCUGUGAGACAAGUUGUGCUCUCCCUGUGUUAUAGGUGAGAACACUAAGACUCAGAGAAGGUGUUAUACAAUCAGUCACUUGCACAGUCAGUCUGGUUCCAGUACUUGUGUUCUCAAAUAAAAGUACUGGACUGACUGUCACAAAAGGGGCUACCAAACCAAGUAAGCCUUACCUCUGUCCUUAGGGAGAGCAGCAUCUCUUUGGAAAAAUAAUAAUUAGCUAAUUAAUUAAUGUGUGAUGUGUGCAUGCUUGAGUGUGUGACAGCACUCACAUCAUGUGUAAGACUUAAGAUUAAGACAAUGAUUGAUAAGUUUCUUGGGCAGAUUUAAUGCUACAGGAGUUUUAAAAAUGUUAUGUUCACCCUAGCAUGAGGAAGACAAAAGCAGAAGAUGCUAUAAAAUCUAAAUAGAGGGUGUUACUGUUUUUAUCAUUCUUCAUGUACUUUUUUAUUCUUUGGUACAUUUUUUUCAUUCUCUGUACAGGUAAAUUACUAAAUUUUUUGAAAUAUUUCACUAUAAAAUAUGUGUGUGUGUCCUUCAAAUGAUAAACUGACUAGUUGAUAUGGAAGAAAUACACUUGAAAACUUUCCUGAAUUCCAUCAAAAUAGGUCAUAACUUUGAGAAGUUGGCUUGAUGAAAUCAACAUUUAUAGAAUCACAACUUCCAUAGUGGGAAGUUUAAGUCAUUCUCUGCACACAGACAGCCGCAGAGGAAAAUAGCUCAAUAAAUUCAAACAUGAAGAUCAAAGUUGUUAUGAUUACAUUCUAUUUCCAUUUCACCUUACCUUACUGUGCAUGCUUAUUAUUUUUAUGCUGCUUACAUGGCCCAUUACCUACUCCCUCUCGUUCUGAGGUCAGUGGAAUGGCAUUUCCCCUUUAGAGCAUUACUGCCUCACACCCUAUAAUUGGCUAGUGGAAUUAGAGAGAUUAUGGUUAUGGGAACAGAAAAUUCCCCCCUCAACAAAAAUGCAGAAUUGUCAUGGUGCAAUUUGCUUUCACCCAUUCUAGCAUUAUUCAGGGUCACAGAAUUUUUUUUAAAAAAAUAUUCUUUUAUUUUUUUUUAAAAAAUUGAGAUGUUGACUAUUAAAUUGGGCUGGCUACAAAUAGUAAACAGAGAUAUUUACAAAUUGGAGGAAUUCCAGACACUAUCAAUCCAGACAUUUUGUUUUGAAAAGAGUCCUUAGACAUCAUUUACAAUUCACAAGACAGUUGUUUUCAUAUAGAAGAUGUUGCUAUCUGCCAAAGUCAUCAAAGAUAACACACAGUUACCUGACAGAAGAGAAAACUAGAGAAGUAAUGUUCUUUGAGUUUUCAAUUUUUAUUUUAUCUUUAAAAAUACAAAUAUGUUCUUGGAAAAUAGCUCACCUAUGUCUUGGCAUUUCUGUUGUCAAUAAUUUAUAGAAAAUGAGAAUAGCGGUGGGCUUAUUUAUUUCAGGUAAAAUUUUGAAUCUGUUCUGAAGACAACAGAAUGGGAAAACUAAAUUGAAAAUCUUAACCAUCCCCAAAGUGCAUUUCUUAGGAGCAGAACCCCAGGCCUGUAAGUUUUUCCUUAGUAAUCUUGUUAAUAAUAACUCUUAACCACUGGCGACAAGGGGGCUUUUCCAUUCAGUACCAUCAAAGACAGUCAGAAUUAAGGACACUGAAAAUGAAGGAGUUGGCUUGGAUGGAGGACAGACACUAAUGUAAUCUAAUCCAUAUUUAACCAGGCGCUGAUUAAAAAUUGCUUGACUAUCCAUAUAAAUUAGAUCAUUCAUGAAGGCUUUUCUUCUCUUGCAUGUUAGAUUUUUAAAGAGUUAGUUUCUGUUACUCCUCCUGGUUACUGUGACUCUGCAGAAUGGAAAUGGAAAAUCUGAAAGUUGGCAGCAUUUGCCUGCAUGUUUGUGCAUGCUGCGAGGUGUAAGAGGCAGGGAGAGGGAGAAGGGUGCAAAAUGGUAGAUGGAGCUGGUAUUCUUGUAGGAUAUUUAGCAGCCUUCACAACGCUUCCCAAACACCAAGAGGAACUCAUAUGGGGGAGUAUUAUUGGAUUUAGAUUUUUCUAAUAUAGCCGUCAGCUCCUUCUGAAAACUUUUUAAUUGGGGCAUUUUCUAGGCUAAUAGCAUCCUAGAAAGCUAUAAACACAGAGGGAAGAACUGUUUUUGUUUAUUAGUCAGGCCAGCUGCAUUUUAUUUGUGGAUGUUCUAUGCACUAUGGACAAUGUGGAGGAAAUAAGAGCGUGAGGCCAAAAGUCAUGAGAAUUGAGAUGCCAGGAACACCAGAACACAUAGAGUAACUAGGGAUGGGCUGAAACACAAAAGAGUUUAUAGUCAAGCCAGGUGAACUCUAAAAAUUCUCUCUUAUGGAGUUUCUAUUGUGUAGCUCAGCAGGUUAAAACCCACAUGGUGUCUGUGAGGAUGCGGGUUCGAUCCCUAGCCUUGUUCAGUGGGUUAAGGAUCCGUCAUUGCUUCGAGCUGUGGUGUAGGUCAAAGAUGCGGCUUGGAUCCCACAUUGCUGUGGCUGUUGUGUAGGCUGGCAGCUACAGCUCUGAUUCGACCCCUGGCCUGAGAACUGCCAUAUGCCU
RNAcentral lists this long non-coding RNA (5340 nucleotides) under Sus scrofa (pig). RNAcentral's name for it is "lncRNA (ENSSSCG00000059514.1)". The record is from RNAcentral. Lineage: Eukaryota; Metazoa; Chordata; Mammalia; Artiodactyla; Suidae.